AUGAACAAGGAAGGACUGCCUGCCUUCGAGAAGCUGACAGGGGAAGGCGGCGGGCAGGUAAGUCGAGAGCACGGGGGGCCCCUGAGCCGCUGGCAAGUGACAUGCCUUCUCCCAGGCAAGGGAGUCACCGUCGGGUGCGGCCUGGCACAGGCAAUGGCCAACAGGACAGCGUCCACCACAGGAACCCAUGCACCGCACACGCCGUGGCAGUGGAGACGGGGCUCGCGGCAGCGAGGCAGCAAGGAUAGGUGUGGGCAGUGGGCAAGCCAAGACGUACACGUGCCUCUGGAUCACGCCGAGGAAGGCCUCAAGGGUGACAGAAACGAGGAGUCACACGGCAUCUUCCGAGGAGUAAUGCCAUCAGGCCCGUGGGGUAGACGGCCCGGCCACGAGGUGCGGGAUGGGGGGAGCCUGUCCCAACUGCCCACACAACAAGGGGGGGGGGGGUCACACGCUGGUGGCAGCAAGUUGAAGGGGGGGAAGUCGAAGCCAGGACCAUGGGAGACCCGCCGCCGAACAGGGAACCCAAGGAAAAGAGGCUCAGAUGCAACCGGUUUUGAAUUCACUGCACUGACCCAUCUGUCGAGCCGACCUCCUGUCGCACGGCCUCGAGCAGAGACGGGGGGAUGCAGUGGAUCCGGGGCCCACAUCCUGGGUGACGGCUCAAGGCACCAAAGAUCCAGAUGCCACCAAGAGGGACAGCGUAGUUGGAGACCAGAGGGUCCGAAGGGCCUUCCCCGCGCCCAGCAUCCCCGGGCCCGGCGGGGAAGGCUGAGCGCCGAGGAAGGUGCAGGAGAGCAGGAGGGGAGGAGGGAGGACCUCCGGCCUGGGCUCCCAGGCAGAGGGGCCAGGGGACCGGACACUUACCCCGGCCCACCCGCCAGGCCUUGGCCUCCCCGGCUCCACCUGUCCGGCGGCCGCAGACUAGUCCCCACUACAUCCCCACCACGUGAGGCGCGGCCUGUAGGGACACAUCCCUCCGUGCCCAUGUCGGCCUCCAGCACCGUGUCGGGCAAAUUGGGAAGUGAACCCACAGUCCCAGCAGCAUGGCCACAGAGCUUCCAGGCUGUUCUGCCGUGA
This 1080-nucleotide long non-coding RNA is filed under the name Canis lupus dingo (dingo). RNAcentral describes it as "lncRNA (ENSCAFG00020022617.1)". The record is from RNAcentral. Lineage: Eukaryota; Metazoa; Chordata; Mammalia; Carnivora; Canidae.